RNAcentral lists this ribosomal RNA (465 nucleotides) under uncultured bacterium. RNAcentral's name for it is "partial 16S ribosomal RNA". It matches the Rfam family "Bacterial small subunit ribosomal RNA", at positions 28 to 507 of the family's 1533-position model. The record is from RNAcentral.
GACGAACGCUGGCGGCGUGCUUAACACAUGCAAGUCGAACGGAAAGGCCCCCUUGUGGGGUACUCGAGUGGCGAACGGGUGAGUAACACGUGAGUAACCUACCCUUGACUUUGGGAUAACUUCAGGAAACUGGGGCUAAUACCGGAUAGGAGCUCCUGCUGGAUGGUGGGGGUUGGAAAGUUUCGGCGGUUGGGGAUGGACUCGCGGCUUAUCAGCUUGUUGGUGGGGUAGUGGCUCACCAAGGCUUUGACGGGUAGCCGGCCUGAGAGGGUGACCGGCCACAUUGGGACUGAGAUACGGCCCAGACUCCUACGGGAGGCAGCAGUGGGGAAUAUUGCACAAUGGGCGGAAGCCUGAUGCAGCAACGCCGCGUGCGGGAUGACGGCCUUCGGGUUGUAAACCGCUUUCGCCUGUGACGAAGCGUGAGUGACGGUAAUGGGUAAAGAAGCACCGGCUAACUACGUG